UGAAGUGCCCCGUCGGCAUCAACACCGGCGAGCUCGUCAAGUCGAUCCGCGAGCGCGACCUGAAGAAGCAGUCCACGGCGACGUCGGGCGCCAACGCGCUCGCGAGGAACUUUGCCACGUUCCAGAGCGUCGUGCCCACGUUCCUGAACCUCGUGUCCGCCGCGCACGGCGUCCUCGGCGGCGGCGUGCUGAAGAGCGUCUCCGGCGCGUUGAACAAGGUUUCCGGGAACUUGAUCCCGGUGUGGAACGAGCACAUGCCCACGGGCGCGCCGUCGCUGCCGGCGCCGAACAUGCCGUCGUCGAGCGCGACGCAGCGCGCGGGGGUCCCUCGCAAGGUUGUCUACCUCCCAUCCUGCGUCACGAGGAUGAUGGGCCCGGCGAAGGGCGACUCUGCGUCCAUCGGCGGCGUCCCGGACGCGAUGAUGAGCAUCCUGAAAAAGGCGGAUUACGAGGUUGUGUACCCGGAGUCGCUCUCGUCGCAGUGCUGCGGCAUGCUCUUCAACUCCAGGGGGUUCAAAGCCACCGCCAGCGGCAAGGGCGAUGACCUCGAGGCGGCGCUCAUGAAAGCCUCCGAGGGCGGCAAGCUCCCGAUUGUCGUCGACACGUCCCCGUGCCUCGCGCAGAUCAAAGAGCAGCUGACGAACCCCGCGUUGCGGUUCGCGUUGUACGAGCCCGCGGAGUUCAUCGCGAACCACCUCGUGGACAAGCUCGAGUGGAAGAAGGUGAAGGACCACGUCGCGAUCCACGUCCCGUGCUCGUCCAAGAAGCUCGGCGUCGAGAACACGUUCAACAAGAUCGCGAAGAUGUGCGCGAAGGAGGUGACGCCGUCGGGGAUCCCGUGUUGCGGCAUGGCUGGGGACCGCGGGAUGCGUUUUCCGGAGCUCACCGGUUCGUCGUUGUCGUACCUGGACCUUCCCGAGGGAUGCAGCGACGGGUACAGCACGUCGAGGACGUGCGAGAUGUCGCUCUCGAACCACAGCGACGUCGCGUUUAGGGGGUUGGUGUACUUGGUCGACGAGGCGACGAGCGCGAAGAAGUGAAGUGAAGCGAGGCGAAGCGGAGACUUCGAAGACUUGACUGAUUUGAUUUGAUCGCGACGGCGU
This 1103-nucleotide long non-coding RNA is filed under the name Micromonas pusilla. RNAcentral describes it as "long non-coding RNA (MPUS_LNC000155)". Lineage: Eukaryota; Viridiplantae; Chlorophyta; Mamiellophyceae; Mamiellales; Mamiellaceae. The record is from RNAcentral.